Molecule: ribosomal RNA, 533 nt
Filed under: uncultured bacterium
Lineage: Bacteria
Description: bacterial SSU rRNA
Rfam family: Bacterial small subunit ribosomal RNA
Source: RNAcentral
AAUAGAUACCCUGGUAGUCCACGCCCUAAACGAUGUCAACUAGCUGUUGGGGGCCUUCGGGCCUUGGUAGCGCAGCUAACGCGUGAAGUUGACCGCCUGGGGAGUACGGUCGCAAGAUUAAAACUCAAAGGAAUUGACGGGGACCCGCACAAGCGGUGGAUGAUGUGGAUUAAUUCGAUGCAACGCGAAAAACCUUACCUACCCUUGACAUGUCUGGAAUGCCGAAGAGAUUUGGCAGUGCUCGCAAGAGAACCGGAACACAGGUGCUGCAUGGCUGUCGUCAGCUCGUGUCGUGAGAUGUUGGGUUAAGUCCCGCAACGAGCGCAACCCUUGUCAUUAGUUGCUACGAAAGGGCACUCUAAUGAGACUGCCGGUGACAAACCGGAGGAAGGUGGGGAUGACGUCAAGUCCUCAUGGCCCUUAUGGGUAGGGCUUCACACGGUCAUACAAUGGUCGGGACAGAGGGUCGCCAACCCGGCGAGGGGGGAGCCCAAUCCCAGAAACCCGAUCGUAGUCCGGAUCGCAGUCUGCAA